UAGUUGGUGGGGUAACGGCUCACCAAGGCGACGAUCCGUAGCUGGUUUGAGAGAACGACCAGCCACACUGGGACUGAGACACGGCCCAGACUCCUACGGGAGGCAGCAGUGGGGAAUUUUGGACAAUGGGGGAAACCCUGAUCCAGCCAUCCCGCGUGUGCGAUGAAGGCCUUCGGGUUGUAAAGCACUUUUGGCAGGAAAGAAACGUCGCGGGUUAAUACCUCGCGGAACUGACGGUACCUGCAGAAUAAGCACCGGCUAACUACGUGCCAGCAGCCGCGGUAAUACGUAGGGUGCAAGCGUUAAUCGGAAUUACUGGGCGUAAAGCGUGCGCAGGCGGUUCGGAAAGAAAGAUGUGAAAUCCCAGAGCUUAACUUUGGAACUGCAUUUUUAACUACCGGGCUAGAGUGUGUCAGAGGGAGGUGGAAUUCCGCGUGUAGCAGUGAAAUGCGUAGAUAUGCGGAGGAACACCGAUGGCGAAGGCAGCCUCCUGGGAUAACACUGACGCUCAUGCACGAAAGCGUGGGGAGCAAACAGGAUUAGAUAC
Molecule: ribosomal RNA, 547 nt
Filed under: uncultured Achromobacter sp.
Lineage: Bacteria; Pseudomonadati; Pseudomonadota; Betaproteobacteria; Burkholderiales; Alcaligenaceae
Description: bacterial SSU rRNA
Rfam family: Bacterial small subunit ribosomal RNA
Source: RNAcentral